Molecule: ribosomal RNA, 253 nt
Filed under: uncultured bacterium
Lineage: Bacteria
Description: partial 16S ribosomal RNA
Rfam family: Bacterial small subunit ribosomal RNA
Source: RNAcentral
GACGAGCCUCACAAACGUUAUUCGGAAUUACUGGGCUUAAAGGGUGCGUAGGCGGCGUAGAAAGUUGGGUGUGAAAUCCCUCGGCUCAACCGAGGAACUGCGCCCAAAACUACUAUGCUCGAGGGAGAUAGAGGAAUGCGGAACUUAGGGUGGAGCGGUGAAAUGCGUUGAUAUCCUAGGGAACACCGGUGGCGAAAGCGGCAUUCUGGAUCUCUUCUGACGCUGAUGCACGAAAGCUAGGGUAGCAAACGGG